RNAcentral lists this ribosomal RNA (251 nucleotides) under uncultured bacterium. RNAcentral's name for it is "partial 16S ribosomal RNA". It matches the Rfam family "Bacterial small subunit ribosomal RNA", at positions 524 to 776 of the family's 1533-position model. The record is from RNAcentral.
UACGUAGGGGCCUAGCGUUGUCCGGAUUUAUUGGGCGUAAAGAGCUCGUAGGCGGCACGGUUAGUCAGGUGUGAAAUCUCCACGCUCAACGUGGAGGGGUCACCUGAUACUGCCGAGCUUGAGUCCGGUAGGGGAGUGUGGAAUUCCCGGUGUAGCGGUGAAAUGCGCAGAUAUCGGGAGGAACACGUAGCGAAGGCGGGUUGCUGGGCCGACACUGACGCUGAGGCGCGAAAGCUAGGGGAGCGAACGGG